CGAAUAAGCAUCGGCUAACUCCGUGCCAGCAGCCGCGGUAAUACGGAGGAUGCAAGCGUUAUCCGGGAUUUAUUGGGUUUAAAGGGUGCGCAGGCGGCGAGGUAAGUCAGUGGUGAAAUGAUUCAGCUUAACUGAAUCCCUGCCAUUGAAACUGCUUUGCUUGAAUUUGGUUGAAGUGGGUGGAAUGUGUGGUGUAGCGGUGAAAUGCAUAGAUAUCACACAGAAUAUCGAUAGCGAAGGCAGCUCACUAAGCCAUGAUUGACGCUCAGGCACGAAAGUGUGGGGAUCAAACAGGAUUAGAUACCCUGGUAGUCCACACUGUAAACGAUGAUAACUAGCUGUUUGCGAUAUACUGUAAGUGGCUAAGCGAAAGCGAUAAGUUAUCCACCUGGGGAGUACGACCGCAAGGUUGAAACUCAAAGGAAUUGACGGGGGCCCGCACAAGCGGAGGAACAUGUGGUUUAAUUCGAUGAUACGCGAGGAACCUUACCCGGGCUCGAACGGCUAUAGAAUAUAUAAGAGAUUAUAUAGUCAGCAAUGACUGUAGUCGAGGUGCUGCAUGGUUGUCGUCAGCUCGUGCCGUGAGGUGUCGGCUUAAGUGCCAUAACGAGCGCAACCCUUGUUGUUAGUUGCCAGCGGGUAAAGCCGGGGACUCUAACGAGACUGCCACCGUAAGGUGUGAGGAAGGGGGGGAUGACGUCAAAUCAGCACGGCCCUUACGUCCGGGGCGACACACGUGUUACAAUGGGGGGUACAGAGGGCUGCUACUAUGCGAAUAGAAGCCAAUCUCUAAAACCCUUCUCAGUUCGGAUCGGAGUCUGCAACUCGACUCCGUGAAGUUGGAUUCGCUAGUAAUCGCGCAUCAGCCAUGGCGCGGUGAAUACGUUCCCGGGCCUUGUACACACCGCCCGUCAAGCCAUGGAAGCCGAGGGUGCCUGAAGUUCGUAACCGAAAGGAGCGACCUAAGGCAAAAUCGGUGACUGGGGCU
RNAcentral lists this ribosomal RNA (988 nucleotides) under uncultured Bacteroidota bacterium. RNAcentral's name for it is "bacterial SSU rRNA". It matches the Rfam family "Bacterial small subunit ribosomal RNA", at positions 483 to 1482 of the family's 1533-position model. Lineage: Bacteria; Pseudomonadati; Bacteroidota. The record is from RNAcentral.